GUCGAACGGAGUUAAGGGGCUUGCUCCUUAACUUAGUGGCGCACGGGUGAGUAACGCGUGGAUAAUCUGCCCUGGUAUCCGGGAUAACAUUUCGAAAGGAGUGCUAAUACGGGAUAAGCUUACGGGGUCUUAGGAUCUUGUGGGAAAAGGUGGGGACCUUCGGGCCUACCGUAUCAGGAUGAGUCCGCGUACCAUUAGCUAGUUGGCGGGGUAAAGGCCCACCAAGGCGACGAUGGUUAGCUGGUCUGAGAGGAUGAUCAGCCACACUGGAACUGAGACACGGUCCAGACUCCUACGGGAGGCAGCAGUGGGGAAUUUUGCGCAAUGGGGGAAACCCUGACGCAGCAACGCCGCGUGAGUGAUGAAGGCCUUCGGGUCGUAAAGCUCUGUCAGAGGGAAAGAAGUGUAUGGUGGCUAAUAUCCAUUGUACUUGACGGUACCCUCAAAGGAAGCACCGGCUAACUCCGUGCCAGCAGCCGCGGUAAUACGGAGGGUGCGAGCGUUGUUCGGAAUUAUUGGGCGUAAAGCGCGUGUAGGCGGUUUUUUAAGUCUGAUGUGAAAGCCCCGGGCUCAACCUGGGAAGUGCAUUGGAAACUGGGAGACUUGAAUACGGGAGAGGGUAGUGGAAUUCCUGGUGUAGGAGUGAAAUCCGUAGAUAUCAGGAGGAACACCGGUGGCGAAGGCGGCUGCCUGGACCGAUAUUGACGCUGAGACGCGAAAGCGUGGGGAGCAAACA
This 736-nucleotide ribosomal RNA is filed under the name uncultured bacterium. Its description in RNAcentral is "bacterial SSU rRNA". It matches the Rfam family "Bacterial small subunit ribosomal RNA", at positions 61 to 774 of the family's 1533-position model. The record is from RNAcentral.